AUCGCUUCUCAGCCUUUUGGCUAUGAUCAAGUGUAGUAUCUGUUCUUAUCAGUAAAAACACAGAUCCUACACUCCUGUGGGGAAUCUACAGGAUAACUCUCAGAAUGAAGAAGAGAUGUCGCAAGAUCACCACUGAGGGCCACCACAUGAGUGUGGUGGUUGUUUUGG
RNAcentral lists this small nuclear RNA (168 nucleotides) under Meriones unguiculatus (Mongolian gerbil). RNAcentral's name for it is "U2 spliceosomal RNA (ENSMUGG00000004950.1)". The stretch from base 1 to 101 matches the Rfam family "U2 spliceosomal RNA". Rfam says of the family: U2 is a small nuclear RNA (snRNA) component of the spliceosome (involved in pre-mRNA splicing). Lineage: Eukaryota; Metazoa; Chordata; Mammalia; Rodentia; Muridae. The record is from RNAcentral.